This 274-nucleotide ribosomal RNA is filed under the name uncultured bacterium. RNAcentral's name for it is "partial 16S ribosomal RNA". It matches the Rfam family "Bacterial small subunit ribosomal RNA", at positions 523 to 796 of the family's 1533-position model. The record is from RNAcentral.
CUACGGAGGGUGCAAGCGUUAUUCGGAAUCACUGGGCGUAAAGGACGCGUAGGCGGGUUGGCAAGUCAGAUGUGAAAUCCUACAGCUUAACUGUAGAACUGCAUUUGAAACUGCUAACCUAGAGUAUGGGAGGGGGAGAUGGAAUUAGUGGUGUAGGGGUAAAAUCCGUAGAUAUCACUAGGAAUACCGGAAGCGAAGGCGAUCUCCUGGAACAUAACUGACGCUAAGGCGUGAAAGCGUGGGGAGCAAACAGGAUUAGAAACCCUAGUAGUCC